AACACGAAAUUUAACACAACACAGCGCCACUCCCUCCGGCUCUUGCCGUAGCAGACAUUCGAGAAACACUCCCUCGCCGGCCAGGACAUCUCUGUUAGGAAGAUUUUCUCAAUAAAUUUUCUCAAGCUAUGUCUGAGGCUGCAUCAUCUGUUGAUGAAUCACAUCCUAUGGACCCAAGUUUGGAGGAUACAAUUAGGUCUAAGUGUUGGUCUGAUGCAGUUGGUAGCAUGACUACUAAGAGGCAACUGUAUGGAGCUGGAGACCUUACUUGUGAUUUAAAAGAUACGUAGAACAGUCACAUCAAUAUUAAAAGGAAAGUAUCUUGUAGCAGUUCACAUGACACAGAAGACAUUGUUCAAUUGAAACAAUGACUUGCAAAACAUGAUGUGAUUAUUCGUCAGUUGCAACAAUUUCAAUCAAUUGUCUUGCAAUUCUUACCCGCAGAAGCACAAACUGCCAUUCAAAAUAUUUGUCAACAACAAAAUACCAACCUAGAUCAACAAAAUGGGGAACAACAUCAAAACCAACAACAAGAAGAUGACCAAGGAAAAAAUCAAGAAGACUCUCCUAAUUAUGAAGAUUAUUAGUUAGCAUUUGAAAAAUAUUAAUCUAUUUGAAUUAACUAUAUAUGAUGUUUGAAUUAUGAAUUGUUUAACAUAUGUUAGUGUUGGAUUAUUAUUAUGAUAUAAAUACUACUAUUAUCUUUUAAAUU
Long non-coding RNA from Cajanus cajan (pigeon pea), 712 nucleotides. RefSeq lists it as uncharacterized. Lineage: Eukaryota; Viridiplantae; Streptophyta; Magnoliopsida; Fabales; Fabaceae. The record is from RefSeq and is a predicted model, not a curated record.